CAGCCAAUCAUCUCCCCAUAGGAAACCUGGUGGCAAAGGCAGUAAGUAGGCUCAUUGGGGUCCACAGGCAUAUCCAAUACAUCUGAAGGGUGCACAUUUCCAAAUGUGACUGAAGGCAUCCCAUAUUCUGUGCUAGUGCGGACAAGCUUUAGUUUCUUUUGGGCAGUCUUUGGUGCCUCCUCAUCAGAAUUCUUCCCUUUAGAGCGUGCACGUGCAGCUUUCUUCUCUUUUUGGGCUCGGCCCUUCUUCUUGCCCUUGCUGGAAGAACUGUCAUAGUCACUCGAUUCUAUCUGCUUCUCCUUCAGGUCUGCUUCAAAGCGAGCAAGAUCUGUGUCCAGCCUCCGGAUGUGCUUAUCGACCAUCUCAUAGGUCUGCAUAGCCAGCUGAACCUUGUCAUCCCCAAAUUCUUUGCAUUUCCCGUACGCCUCCUGGAUUUGCUUGAGAAGCCCCAGUUUUUCCUCUGACGACAAAGUCCGUGCAUUGCUGAUAUACUCCGUGGCCAACUUAUCGAUCUCCGACUUGAGGUCUUCUGUUCUCUGAUCCAGAUCUCGCAUGAGCUGGAAGUUUCUCUGCAGUUCAAAAGGCAGGUUCUCAAUACUGUCCAGGUAGUGCUCCAGGUACAUCCCCGCCGCCAUCUUGGGCCCCGA
Molecule: long non-coding RNA, 647 nt
Filed under: Gallus gallus (chicken)
Lineage: Eukaryota; Metazoa; Chordata; Aves; Galliformes; Phasianidae
Source: RNAcentral